This 69-nucleotide transfer RNA is filed under the name Ischnoptera bilunata. RNAcentral describes it as "tRNA-Ser". The record is from RNAcentral. Lineage: Eukaryota; Metazoa; Arthropoda; Insecta; Blattodea; Blattellidae.
AGUUAAAUACUUAAGAAAGUAUUAUGUUUUGAAAGCAUAAAUAAAGAGGUUUAAUUCCUCUAUUAACUU